Molecule: long non-coding RNA, 189 nt
Organism: Centropristis striata (black sea bass)
Lineage: Eukaryota; Metazoa; Chordata; Actinopteri; Perciformes; Serranidae
Exons: 3
Source: RefSeq, a predicted model, not a curated record
UAUAAACCAGGACACUAAACGAUCAAAUAAAUAUUGUUUAUUUCUGCUCGGGGCUGCUUGAAACACCUCCAACCAAGGCAAACCCGAGGGAUGAAGCCAAGGCAGCAGCUUGCAUGGUAGCAUGACUUUAGAAGAGGAGGAGGGAACACAGGAAUAGCCACAGCCACGAUACCAGCCAACCCGCCCAGG